RNAcentral lists this ribosomal RNA (816 nucleotides) under Nocardiopsis sp. MJ445. Its description in RNAcentral is "bacterial SSU rRNA". It matches the Rfam family "Bacterial small subunit ribosomal RNA", at positions 54 to 874 of the family's 1533-position model. The record is from RNAcentral. Lineage: Bacteria; Bacillati; Actinomycetota; Actinomycetes; Streptosporangiales; Nocardiopsidaceae.
CAUGCAGUCGAGCGGUAAGGCCCUUCGGGGUACACGAGCGGCGAACGGGUGAGUAACACGUGAGCAACCUGCCCCUGACUCCGGGAUAAGCGGUGGAAACGCCGUCUAAUACCGGAUACGACCCGCCACCUCAUGGUGGAGGGUGGAAAGUUUUUCGGUCAGGGAUGGGCUCGCGGCCUAUCAGCUUGUUGGUGGGGUAACGGCCUACCAAGGCGAUUACGGGUAGCCGGCCUGAGAGGGCGACCGGCCACACUGGGACUGAGACACGGCCCAGACUCCUGCGGGAGGCAGCAGUGGGGAAUAUUGCGCAAUGGGCGAAAGCCUGACGCAGCGACGCCGCGUGGGGGAUGACGGCCUUCGGGUUGUAAACCUCUUUUACCACCAACGCAGGCCCGGAGUUUUCUUCGGGUUGACGGUAGGUGGGGAAUAAGGACCGGCUAACUACGUGCCAGCAGCCGCGGUAAUACGUAGGGUCCGAGCGUUGUCCGGAAUUAUUGGGCGUAAAGAGCUCGUAGGCGGCGUGUCGCGUCUGCUGUGAAAGACCGGGGCUUAACUCCGGUUCUGCAGUGGAUACGGGCAUGCUAGAGGUAGGUAGGGGAGACUGGAAUUCCUGGUGUAGCGGUGAAAUGCGCAGAUAUCAGGAGGAACACCGGUGGCGAAGGCGGGUCUCUGGGCCUUACCUGACGCUGAGGAGCGAAAGCAUGGGGAGCGAACAGGAUUAGAUACCCUGGUAGUCCAUGCCGUAAACGUUGGGCGCUAGGUGUGGGGACUUUCCACGGUUUCCGCGCCGUAGCUAACGCAUUAAGCGCCCCGCCU